Molecule: ribosomal RNA, 468 nt
Filed under: uncultured bacterium
Lineage: Bacteria
Description: partial 16S ribosomal RNA
Rfam family: Bacterial small subunit ribosomal RNA
Source: RNAcentral
GACGAACGCUGGCGGCGUGCUUAACACAUGCAAGUCGAACGGAAAGGCCCUGCUUUUGUGGGGUGCUCGAGUGGCGAACGGGUGAGUAACACGUGAGUAACCUGCCCUUGACUUUGGGAUAACUUCAGGAAACUGGGGCUAAUACCGGAUAGGAGCUCCUGCUGCAUGGUGGGGGUUGGAAAGUUUCGGCGGUUGGGGAUGGACUCGCGGCUUAGCAGCUUGUUGGUGGGGUAGUGGCUUACCAAGGCUUUGACGGGUAGCCGGCCUGAGAGGGUGACCGGCCACAUUGUGACUGAGAUACGGCCCAGACUCCUACGGGAGGCAGCAGUGGGGAAUAUUGCACAAUGGGCGGAAGCCUGAUGCAGCAACUCCGCGUGCGGGAUGACGGCCUUCGGGUUGUAAACCGCUUUCGCCUGUGACGAAGCGUGAGUGACGGUAAUGGGUAAAGAAGCACCGGCUAACUACGUG